Molecule: ribosomal RNA, 492 nt
Filed under: uncultured bacterium
Lineage: Bacteria
Description: partial 16S ribosomal RNA
Rfam family: Bacterial small subunit ribosomal RNA
Source: RNAcentral
AGUGAACGCUGGCGGUAGGCCUAACACAUGCAAGUCGAACGGCAGCACAGUAAGAGCUUGCUCUUACGGGUGGCGAGUGGCGGACGGGUGAGGAAUACAUCGGAAUCUACUUUUUCGUGGGGGAUAACGUAGGGAAACUUACGCUAAUACCGCAUACGACCUACGGGUGAAAGCAGGGGAUCUUCGGACCUUGCGCGAUUGAAUGAGCCGAUGGCGGAUUAGCUAGUUGGCGGGGUUAAGGCCCACCAAGGCGACGAUCCGUAGCUGGUCUGAGAGGAUGAUCAGCCACACUGGAACUGAGACACGGUCCAGACUCCUACGGGAGGCAGCAGUGGGGAAUAUUGGACAAUGGGCGCAAGCCUGAGCCAGCCAUACCGCGUGGGUGAGGAAGGCCUUCGGGUUGUAAAGCCCUUUUGUUGGGAAAGAAAAGCAGCAGGUUAAUACCCCGCUGUUCUGACGGUACCCAAAGAAUGAGCACCGGCUAACUUCGUG